UAUAACUGAAGCAUGAAAUUUUAAUUGUAAGUGAUACAAGCUAAUUCUAUUUAAAAUAUUCAAAUGGGAAUAAAUAUUGUUAAUGUUUUCAAAAUUGUUUAUGUUAUGAUUAUUUUUAUUUUUCUAUUUCUUGAUGCAAAUGAAUACGUUGUUAUCACAGAGACAGAUGUUCCAUGUGUAAGACGUAAAGAUUGUCCUAAAACUUUGUGUAAUCUUGGUUUAUCACGAAAAUGUAAUGGCGCAGGUUUUUGUAUAUGUGUUUCAAGUAGUUUCAAUUAGAUAUUGUGUUGGCUUCCAAUAAUUCAAUUUUUUAUUUAAUUUUUAUAAUUUUAUGAAACUUGUAGUUAUUACUUUGUACGUUAAAAUGAUACAAAUAAAAUGAAAUACAAUAUAUUCAUCAAAAAAAAAAUGAAUACAAUAUUAAUGACUAUUUUAUCAA
Molecule: long non-coding RNA, 439 nt
Organism: Vicia villosa (hairy vetch)
Lineage: Eukaryota; Viridiplantae; Streptophyta; Magnoliopsida; Fabales; Fabaceae
Exons: 2
Source: RefSeq, a predicted model, not a curated record